This is a long non-coding RNA of Arachis duranensis, 1064 nucleotides long. RefSeq lists it as uncharacterized. Lineage: Eukaryota; Viridiplantae; Streptophyta; Magnoliopsida; Fabales; Fabaceae. The transcript is spliced from 3 exons. The record is from RefSeq and is a predicted model, not a curated record.
GUCUCGAGUAGGAAGCCCUUCCUCCCAUCACUUGGCAGCGCCGCCGAAGACUUCUUCCCAGCGAGCACUGACCCAGCAGCUUUCUUCCCAGCAGCGCCGAAGCCGAAGCCUUCUUCCCAGCGAGCACCGACCCAGCAGCGUUCUUCCCAGCAGCGCCGAAGCCUUCUUCCCACCGAGCCACCUAGCACAGAACCACCCAGCAAUGUUUUCGGCCACCCACAACACAGCACAGCACCGACUACCAAGCCACCCAACCACCGAUUCAAGUGAGACAUGGAGCCCGAGCCUCUGAGUCAGAGUUGAGCUAGGCAUCACAUGCGCUUAUGUUAGAGUAUGGAUAUCUGGAGUUGAUUGAGUGCUUCUCAGUGUCGUUUUUCAUCACAGCAGUGUUUCUGGGUUCUCCCACUCAGCGCCACGAUCAUCAGUUCAACCCACUCCCAGCACCUCCGAGUCUCCCAGUCAGAUUUGAAGGUUUUUUUUAUGACAGUUCCAUUGAUGGAGUUAUCAAGGAGAGCUUUACGGAAUAGUUUGUCUUGUUUGUUACACUUGUAGCUUUGGUUAUGAUGAACUAGGAAAGAAUAUGCAUGAAUAUGAAUAUUUUGAUAAGAAUGGAAUAGUUUGUCAUGUUUAUUAUAUAACACUUGUAGCUUUGGUUAUGAUGUACUAGGAAAGAAUAUGCAUGAAUAUGAAUAUCUUGAUAAGAAUGGGAUGGACUGUCAAUUCUUUGAAUCCGUGACUGAUUCCUUAUUUUAAACCCAGUGACUUUGAGAUCAUGCGAAAAAAACUCUAAAGGUGGCUUCAAGACUUUCCUUUUGUUGAAAAUUAUAGUUGCAUUAGUAAAAUGAUCACAAUUCACAAACAGGUAGAAAAGGAUGAAGAGGCAACAUUUUUAAAAACCGAACAAACCAAAUCGAACCAAACCGAUUUUAAUUGGUUUGGUUUGGUUCAGAUGGCCUCAAUAAAAAAAUCGAACCAAACCGAACCGCAGUUUAAUUAAACGAUUGGAUCGGAUGACUUUUCUCUCAAAAAUCGAACCAAACUGCACCGCGAACACUCCUACCAAU